Molecule: non-coding RNA, 67 nt
Organism: Danionella cerebrum
Lineage: Eukaryota; Metazoa; Chordata; Actinopteri; Cypriniformes; Danionidae
Source: the annotation of a GenBank genome assembly
GCCGAAAUAGCUCAGUUGGGAGAGCGUUAGACUGUAGAUCUAAAGGUCGCUGGUUCGAGUGUUGACA